UCACCAAUCAGAGAAUUUCGCAAAUAUCUACCACGUGCUCAGAACUGGCAUUGGAGGACGUGGCUCAAGUUUCAGUUCUUCCAGCCGAUGACGUGAGGGCAAGAAAAGGAUUGGAGGACAGGACUUGGAGCCACUCCUCCCUAGCACAGCCUGCCCAUUGAGCACCGAAGGUGGGCUCUCCCCCAGCCCCAGCCCCCAUCACUGGACAGUCAUGGGAAGUGGCUGCUACCAGGGAGAACCGCAUGACCUUGAGCAAGACAGCUUUCUUCAGUGGAGGGAAGGCAAUUCUCCAAGAGACACUCAUCUGAGAGCUGUCAGCCAACUCUCCCAGCAGGAAAGUCACAUUCUGAACUUCA
Molecule: long non-coding RNA, 356 nt
Organism: Myotis davidii
Lineage: Eukaryota; Metazoa; Chordata; Mammalia; Chiroptera; Vespertilionidae
Exons: 3
Source: RefSeq, a predicted model, not a curated record